CUACGUGCCAGCAGCCGCGGUAAUACGUAGGGCGCGAGCGUUGUCCGGAAUUAUUGGGCGUAAAGAGCUUGUAGGCGGUUUGUCGCGUCUGCUGUGAAAGGCCGGAGCUUAACUCCGUGUAUUGCAAUGGGUACGGGCAGACUAGAGUGCAGUAGGGGAGACUGGAAUUCCUGGUGUAGCGGUGGAAUGCGCAGAUAUCAGGAGGAACACCGAUGGCGAAGGCAGGUCUCUGGGCUGUAACUGACGCUGAGAAGCGAAAGCAUGGGGAGCGAACAGGAUUAGAUACCCUGGUAGUCCAUGCCGUAAACGUUGGGCACUAGGUGUGGGGAACAUUCCACGUUUUCCGCGCCGUAGCUAACGCAUUAAGUGCCCCGCCUGGGGAGUACGGCCGCAAGGCUAAAACUCAAAUGAAUUGACGGGGGCCCGCACAAGCGGUGGAGUAUGUGGUUUAAUUCGACGCAACGCGAAGAACCUUACCAGGUCUUGACAU
RNAcentral lists this ribosomal RNA (490 nucleotides) under uncultured bacterium. Its description in RNAcentral is "bacterial SSU rRNA". It matches the Rfam family "Bacterial small subunit ribosomal RNA", at positions 501 to 987 of the family's 1533-position model. The record is from RNAcentral.